CGCCACGCCAGCGAGAGGAGGUGUGGAGGUAUUGCUCCGUCGCCUCGCCCUGCCCAAACAAAAGCGGAGAGCAUAUACUAAUAAUUUUAUAACAAUGAAUCAGGGAAGAACAAAAGUAAAUUGAUGCAAGAGGAAGAGACAAAAUAUUGAUAGCUUGAGAAUAAUGCAAAUAAAAAAAGAAAGGAAUGAAAAACGAGAAACAUUGAACUGAAAAAGACAGAUACAACGAAACAGAGAGAGAGAGAGAGAGAGAGAGAGAGAGAGAGAGAGAGAGAGAGAGAGAGAGAGAGAAUAAUUGACGUGCAGAAUUACUGAAACAAAACGAAAUAAUUGAGUUAGGAAAAUGCAACGAAUGUGAUAGAAACGAAAAAAAAGAAAAGAGAAAGAAAAAAACGAGAAAAAUGACAAAAAUGACAAACUUGUAAAGAAAUAUAUGAAAAAAAUGAAUAAAAAAAUGAAAGUAUUCACCAAAAAAAUGAGUAAAAAAUAAAAGUAAAUAGAAAAAGAAAAAAAGAAAGGAAUAAAUACGGAAAAUAAAGGAAAUGUGAAAUAAAUAUGUGUGAAUGAAGAAAUUUUAAGGAACGUAAACAAAAAAAAACUAUAAACUAAAAAAAAAGAAACAAACAAAACGAAAAAAAGAGAAAGUGAAAGAAAGAAACAAAUAAAGAUAAAAAAUAUACAAAAAAAGGGAAAGAAAAACACGCACAGUAGAAAAAUGAAGAUGAAAAACAAGAAAGUGAGAAAGAAAAGAUAAAAAAAGACGGAAGAGAGAGAGAGAGAGAGAGAGAGAGAGAGAGAGAGAGAGAGAGAGAGAGAGAGAGAGAGAG
Molecule: long non-coding RNA, 827 nt
Organism: Scylla paramamosain (green mud crab)
Lineage: Eukaryota; Metazoa; Arthropoda; Malacostraca; Decapoda; Portunidae
Exons: 2
Source: RefSeq, a predicted model, not a curated record